Molecule: ribosomal RNA, 478 nt
Filed under: uncultured bacterium
Lineage: Bacteria
Description: partial 16S ribosomal RNA
Rfam family: Bacterial small subunit ribosomal RNA
Source: RNAcentral
GACGAACGCUGGCGGCGUGCUUAACACAUGCAAGUCGAACGGUAAGGCCCUUCGGGGUACACGAGUGGCGAACGGGUGAGUAACACGUGGGUGAUCUGCCCUACACUUCGGGAUAAGCCUGGGAAACUGGGUCUAAUACCGGAUAGGACCACUGCCUGCAUGGGUGGUGGUGGAAAGCUUUUGCGGUGUGGGAUGGGCCCGCGGCCUAUCAGCUUGUUGGUGGGGUGAUGGCCUACCAAGGCGACGACGGGUAGCCGGCCUGAGAGGGUGACCGGCCACACUGGGACUGAGAUACGGCCCAGACUCCUACGGGAGGCAGCAGUGGGGAAUAUUGCACAAUGGGCACAAGCCUGAUGCAGCGACGCCGCGUGAGGGAUGACGGCCUUCGGGUUGUAAACCUCUUUCAGCACCGACGAAGCGCAAGUGACGGUAGGUGCAGAAGAAGGACCGGCCAACUACGUGCCAGCAGCCGCGGUAA